RNAcentral lists this ribosomal RNA (483 nucleotides) under uncultured bacterium. Its description in RNAcentral is "bacterial SSU rRNA". It matches the Rfam family "Bacterial small subunit ribosomal RNA", at positions 10 to 507 of the family's 1533-position model. The record is from RNAcentral.
AGUUUGAUCAUGGCUCAGAAUCAACGCUGGCGGCGUGCCUCAGACAUGCAAGUCGAACGAUUAAAGCUCUCUUCGGAGAGUGUAUAGAGUGGCGCACGGGUGAGUAACACGUAAGUAAUCUACCCUCGAGUGGGGAAUAACAACCGGAAACGGUUGCUAAUACCGCAUAAUGCAGCGGCACCGCAAGGUGACAGUUGUUAAAGAUUUAUCGCUUGAGGAGGAGCUUGCGGCAGAUUAGCUAGUUGGUAGGGUAACGGCUUACCAAGGCUACGAUCUGUAACCGGUCUAAGAGGACGGUCGGUCACACUGACACUGAAUAACGGGUCAGACUCCUACGGGAGGCAGCAGUCGGGAAUUUUGGGCAAUGGGCGAAAGCCUGACCCAGCAACGCCGCGUGAAGGAUGAAGUAUUUCGGUAUGUAAACUUCGAAAGAAUAGGAAGAACUAAUGACGGUACUAUUUAUAAGGUCCGGCUAACUACGUG